GGGCAGUGAGCCUGGAGGCGGGGGGGAAGAAGGGGGCGGCGCUGGAGGAACUGAGCCCUAAGAUUUUAAGGGCAUGCUCCAACACCCAUUAAAGUCAAUGGAAAGAUUUUCCAUGGGAUGGGUCCAGGGUGCAUCUAGGAUUAUGAAAGUUUUGAUGUCUCUGGGAUGCCUUCUUGCACAUUCAAGUUAUCCCCGCUUGAAAGGAGAACAGAUUUUUCUCACUGGGGCUAGGUUUUAUUCUUAUCCAGCUGGCAAAAGGAGUAAGGUUCAUUGUUUCAUGGACUACACUCAGGAAAAUAGAGUGUAGGUUACUAAUGGUACCCCCUCGACCCAGGUUCAUCACUCAGUGACAAUAACAUUCUAUUUGUCCUGGGAAGGAAUUUGCAUUCAAACAACAUCCUGUGCUUCAAAGGGAGUGAAAUGGAAUACAAGUGCCCUACCUAUGGAAACCACACUGGUAUUGGGUAAAUGCCUGUGAACCUUAUCUCCCGGGUACAAAGCAGCUGGAUUUCUAUACAUUAUACUUAAGGAAAACUCUACAUUUUCUGCUUGUUCAGGAUGUCUGCAAAUUCCAAAGGUAAGAAACACGUCUUGAUAUUUGAUGUUUUUAAUUACAGUUGCUGUUUUUUG
This 630-nucleotide long non-coding RNA is filed under the name Chrysemys picta bellii (western painted turtle). RNAcentral's name for it is "lncRNA (ENSCPBG00000010744.1)". The record is from RNAcentral. Lineage: Eukaryota; Metazoa; Chordata; Testudines; Emydidae.